RNAcentral lists this ribosomal RNA (506 nucleotides) under uncultured bacterium. RNAcentral's name for it is "partial 16S ribosomal RNA". It matches the Rfam family "Bacterial small subunit ribosomal RNA", at positions 29 to 523 of the family's 1533-position model. The record is from RNAcentral.
AGUGAACGCUGGCGGUAGGCCUAACACAUGCAAGUCGAACGGCAGCACAGGAGAGCUUGCUCUCUGGGUGGCGAGUGGCGGACGGGUGAGGAAUACAUCGGAAUCUACUCUGUCGUGGGGGAUAACGUAGGGAAACUUACGCUAAUACCGCAUACGACCUACGGGUGAAAGCAGGGGACCUUCGGGCCUUGCGCGAUUGAAUGAGCCGAUGACGGAUUAGCUAGUUGGCGGGGUAAAGGCCCACCAAGGCGACGAUCCGUAGCUGGUCUGAGAGGAUGAUCAGCCACACUGGAACUGAGACACGGUCCAGACUCCUACGGGAGGCAGCAGUGGGGAAUAUUGGACAAUGGGCGCAAGCCUGAUCCAGCCAUACCGCGUGGGUGAGGAAGGCCUUCGGGUUGUAAAGCCCUUUUGUUGGGAAAGAAAUCCAGCUGGCUAAUACCCGGUUGGGAUGACGGUACCCAAAGAAUAAGCACCGGCUAACUUCGUGCCAGCAGCCGCGGUAA